This 481-nucleotide ribosomal RNA is filed under the name uncultured bacterium. RNAcentral describes it as "partial 16S ribosomal RNA". It matches the Rfam family "Bacterial small subunit ribosomal RNA", at positions 355 to 828 of the family's 1533-position model. The record is from RNAcentral.
UAGGGAAUCUUCCACAAUGGACGAAAGUCUGAUGGAGCAACGCCGCGUGAGUGAUGAAGGGUUUCGGCUCGUAAAACUCUGUUGUUGGAGAAGAACGGGUGUCAGAGUAACUGUUGACAUCGUGACGGUAUCCAACCAGAAAGCCACGGCUAACUACGUGCCAGCAGCCGCGGUAAUACGUAGGUGGCAAGCGUUGUCCGGAUUUAUUGGGCGUAAAGCGAGCGCAGGCGGUUUUUUAGGUCUGAUGUGAAAGCCUUCGGCUUAACCGGAGAAGUGCAUCGGAAACCGGGAGACUUGAGUGCAGAAGAGGACAGUGGAACUCCAUGUGUAGCGGUGAAAUGCGUAGAUAUAUGGAAGAACACCAGUGGCGAAGGCGGCUGUCUGGUCUGCAACUGACGCUGAGGCUCGAAAGCAUGGGUAGCGAACAGGAUUAGAUACCCUGGUAGUCCAUGCCGUAAACGAUGAGUGCUAAGUGUUGGAG